This 875-nucleotide long non-coding RNA is filed under the name Malus domestica (apple). RNAcentral describes it as "long non-coding RNA (MDOM_LNC015386)". Lineage: Eukaryota; Viridiplantae; Streptophyta; Magnoliopsida; Rosales; Rosaceae. The record is from RNAcentral.
AGUAAGUCGAUUAGGUUACAUUCAAAUAAAUUCAGGGCGAAGAAGGGAGAAUAGUUUCAAGAACAGCCUUCAGCUCUAGCCAUCUCACUUCGCCCAUUAUGACUUCAGCUUGCCGAUUCCGCUUGUCCAUCUUUAGCUGCUCAACUUCCUUGACUUUAGCCGCAUAGUCAGUUAAACAAGAUUUACCGCCCAACUCAAAGUCUUUCGCAAGAUCAGAAGCAAUUGUCGACCUUUGAGUUUAGAGUUCGACAAUUUGGCGGUCGAUUCGACCACUUUCUCUUUCUUCGACUUCAAGGCUUCAAUUUUUUGUCAAAGGGCAUCUCGAGUAGUAGUCGCAGCCUUCAGGAUAGCUUCGGCGUGGAGAGCUUUUUCAAAAAUGGUAAAAAACUCUCGGGUUCUCUCCAGGGUAAAAGACGCUUGAGUGAUGGCUUCAGUACUCAAGAGACCUUCAACGGCGAGAGCAUUAACACUCACCCAUAAAGUCGAGACCCUUGCGUUCAAGAAUUCGUGAAGCUAAAAGAGAAAAGAGUUCUUUUAGCUUAACAAGCACAUUGCAUUUGGCUGUCGGGGAAGGCCUGGCUGUGGUCGUCGAAGGGCCAUCCGCCCCCGAAGUGGUCGAGAGAAGGGCGUCAAAUUCGACCUCCCUUGAAGGCUGCAUGAAAAGAAGUUGUCAGAAUAAGCCAAAUCUUCAGAAAAUAAGAAGGGGGAAAUGAUAGACCUGCCGAGAAGAGACUUCGGCCAUGUCUGCUGGUUCGUUGCUCGAACCCAGAGAGCUCAAUGGUCGAGCCCAAUAUUUUAAGCUGCUUCUCAAUUCACACGACCGAUGAAGGUUAUCUACAUUUGACGGCCAUUGAGAUGGCCAAGAGAUAUAGAUA